This 71-nucleotide transfer RNA is filed under the name Hylomyscus stella (Stella wood mouse). RNAcentral describes it as "tRNA-Gln". It matches the Rfam family "tRNA". Rfam says of the family: Transfer RNA (tRNA) molecules are approximately 80 nucleotides in length. Their secondary structure includes four short double-helical elements and three loops (D, anti-codon, and T loops). Lineage: Eukaryota; Metazoa; Chordata; Mammalia; Rodentia; Muridae. The record is from RNAcentral.
UAGGAUAUGGUGUAAAGGUAGCACGAAGAAUUUUGAAUUCUUAAGUUUAGGUUCAAAUCCUGUUAUUCUAG